RNAcentral lists this ribosomal RNA (427 nucleotides) under uncultured bacterium. RNAcentral describes it as "bacterial SSU rRNA". It matches the Rfam family "Bacterial small subunit ribosomal RNA", at positions 355 to 774 of the family's 1533-position model. The record is from RNAcentral.
UGGGGAAUUUUGGACAAUGGGCGCAAGCCUGAUCCAGCAAUGCCGCGUGCAGGAUGAAGGCCUUCGGGUUGUAAACCGCUUUUGUCAGGGAAGAAACGAGUUUCUCUAAUACAGAGACUUAAUGACGGUACCUGAAGAAUAAGCACCGGCUAACUACGUGCCAGCAGCCGCGGUAAUACGUAGGGUGCGAGCGUUAAUCGGGAUUACUGGGCGUAAAGCGUGCGCAGGCGGUUAUAUAAGACAGAUGUGAAAUCCCCGGGCUCAACCUGGGAACUGCAUUUGUGACUGUAUAGCUAGAGUACGGCAGAGGGGGAUGGAAUUACGCGUGUAGCAGUGAAAUGCGUAGAUAUGCGGAGGAACACCAAUGGCGAAGGCAAUCCCCUGGGCCUGUACUGACGCUCAUGCACGAAAGCGUGGGGAGCAAACA